RNAcentral lists this non-coding RNA (27 nucleotides) under Homo sapiens (human). Lineage: Eukaryota; Metazoa; Chordata; Mammalia; Primates; Hominidae. The record is from RNAcentral.
UAAGAACAGGUUCUUGUGCUGACGUCC